AAGGAUCAUUAUAGUAUAUGGAAUAACCCAUUCUAUGAACCCCACCUGUGUAUCAUUAAACUGUUGCUUCCAUGGGACUUGGGCCUGCGUCCACAUCGGCUUUACGGCUGGUGAGCGCCCAUGGGAGGAGAUAACAAGACCCUUCUUUGACAUGUAAUAAGUCUGAAAUUGUUUUUAUAAUUUUUAAAACUUUCAACAACGGAUCUCUUGGUUCUC
This 216-nucleotide unclassified non-coding RNA is filed under the name uncultured fungus. Its description in RNAcentral is "partial contains 18S rRNA, ITS1, 5.8S rRNA, ITS2 and 28S rRNA". Lineage: Eukaryota; Fungi. The record is from RNAcentral.